UGCCCCAUAGCUCAAUUGGCAGAGCGUCGGAUUCUGGUUCCGAAGGUUCAAGGUUCGACUCCUUGUGGGGCAA
This 73-nucleotide transfer RNA is filed under the name Bacteroidetes bacterium CG12_big_fil_rev_8_21_14_0_65_60_17. RNAcentral describes it as "tRNA-Gln". It matches the Rfam family "tRNA". From Rfam's summary of the family: Transfer RNA (tRNA) molecules are approximately 80 nucleotides in length. Their secondary structure includes four short double-helical elements and three loops (D, anti-codon, and T loops). Further hydrogen bonds mediate the characteristic L-shaped molecular structure. tRNAs have two regions of fundamental functional importance: the anti-codon, which is responsible for specific mRNA codon recognition, and the 3' end, to which the tRNAs corresponding amino acid is attached (by aminoacyl-tRNA synthetases). tRNAs cope with the degeneracy of the genetic code in two manners: having more than one tRNA (with a specific anti-codon) for a particular amino acid; and 'wobble' base-pairing, i.e. permitting non-standard base-pairing at the 3rd anti-codon position. The record is from RNAcentral. Lineage: Bacteria; Pseudomonadati; Bacteroidota.